Molecule: long non-coding RNA, 1384 nt
Organism: Pseudophryne corroboree (corroboree frog)
Lineage: Eukaryota; Metazoa; Chordata; Amphibia; Anura; Myobatrachidae
Exons: 3
Source: RefSeq, a predicted model, not a curated record
GGAUGCGUCUAGCAUGUUGCUAUGGUGGUCUCUAUGGUAACUCUCCUGCUGCACGGCGCGCCGUGACGUCAGGGCUAUGCGACGCGGAUGCGGGCAGUGCACGCUGGCGUGCGGACGCACAGUUGGAGCAGGCAUCUUCUGGACGAUGGGAUCUCCUACACGAAUAGUGAAUACCGACUGAAGACGCCGUCUGCCUCAGAGGAUACAGUUCUCCAGAGGUUCCAUAUUGUGAGAAACCAUCAUACAGAUUGGAAUCGACAUAUCGGACAUUUAUCAUUGGAAGAAGAUUCAUCAUAAGAGUAUUCAUGUUCAAACUCAAAGGACGUAAUAUCACAUCAUUUUUUAGCGCUCAGUGGGGGUCAUUCCGAGUUGUUCGCUCGUUAUUUUUUUUUCGCUACGGAGCGAUUUGUCGCAAACUGCGCAUGCGCAAUGUUCGCAGUGCGCCUGCGCCAAGUAAAUUAACACAAAAGAUUGGUAUUUUACUCAAGGCCUAACAAAGAUUUUUCAUCGUUCUGGUGAUCGGAGUGUGAUUGACAGGAAGUGGGUGUUUCUGGGCGGGUCCUUGCCGUUUUAUGGGAGUGUGCGGAAAAACGCUGGCGUUUCUGGGAAAAACGCGUGAGUGUCUGAAGAAACGGGAGAGUGUCUGGGCGAACGCUGGGUGUGUUUGUGACGUCAAACCAGGAACGAAACUGACUGAACUGAUCGCAGUGUAGGAGUAAGUCUCGAGCUACUCAGAAACUGCUAAGAAAUUUCUAUUCGCAAUUCUGCUAAUCUUUCGUUCGCAAUUCUGCUAAGCUAAGAAACACUCCCAGAGGGCGGCGGCUUAGCGUGUGCAAUGCUGCUAAAAGCAGCUAGCGAGCGAUCAACUCGGAAUGAGGGCCUGUGUGUUUAGUAAGCUUGAAUUCUGUGUAUGUAAUUUUAAUUUUGUGCAGUCUUUGCACAGCCCAGGACUGACUCAGCCGCUGCGAUCACUUCAGCCUGUCUGGGACCGGAUUUGACGUCAGACACCCUCCCUUCCAACGGUUGGACAUGCCUGCAUUUUUCCAGACACUCCCUGAAAAUGGUCAGUUGCCACACACAAAUGUCCUCUUCCUGUCAAUCUCCUUGCGAACGCCCGUGCGAUCGGAUCUUUCGCAGCAUCCCGUCGCUGACUGGCAAUCCCUGUUGUAGCUGUCCGACGCGCAUGCACAUUGCAGUGCAUGUGCAGUUCAGACCUGAUUACCCACUGUGCAAAAACGCAAAUGGUAGGGGGCGUGAUCAUGUAGCUACAAGGUUGGGUUGGCCAUGCCCCAGGUGGUUCCAACAUUGAGAGACCUUUUGUGUGCACUACUCCCAUUUCCUUGUUUUGCGAUUGUUUUGUUGUGAUUGUAUUAUGGAAAUAAAG